GAGUUUGAUCCUGGCUCAGAUUGAACGCUGGCGGCAGGCUUAACACAUGCAAGUCGAACGAGGUUAGGGAGCUUGCUCCUGAUACCUAGUGGCGAACGGGUGAGUAAUGCUUAGGAAUCUGCCUAGUAGUGGGGGAUAACUUGGGGAAACUCAAGCUAAUACCGCAUACGACCUACGGGUGAAAGGGGGCGCAAGCUCUCGCUAUUAGAUGAGCCUAAGUCGGAUUAGCUAGUUGGUGGGGUAAAGGCCUACCAAGGCGACGAUCUGUAGCUGGUCUGAGAGGAUGAUCAGCCACACUGGGACUGAGACACGGCCCAGACUCCUACGGGAGGCAGCAGUGGGGAAUAUUGGACAAUGGGCGAAAGCCUGAUCCAGCCAUGCCGCGUGUGUGAAGAAGGCCUUUUGGUUGUAAAGCACUUUAAGUAGGGAGGAAAAGCUAAUGGUUAAUACCCAUUAGCCCUGACGUUACCUACAGAAUAAGCACCGGCUAACUCUGUGCCAGCAGCCGCGGUAAUACAGAGGGUGCAAGCGUUAAUCGGAAUUACUGGGCGUAAAGCGCGCGUAGGUGGUUGCUUAAGUCAGAUGUGAAAGCCCCGGGCUUAACCUGGGAACUGCAUCUGAUACUGGGUGACUAGAGUAGGUGAGAGGGGAGUAGAAUUCCAGGUGUAGCGGUGAAAUGCGUAGA
RNAcentral lists this ribosomal RNA (685 nucleotides) under uncultured bacterium. RNAcentral's name for it is "bacterial SSU rRNA". It matches the Rfam family "Bacterial small subunit ribosomal RNA", at positions 9 to 694 of the family's 1533-position model. The record is from RNAcentral.